Molecule: long non-coding RNA, 222 nt
Organism: Oncorhynchus gorbuscha (pink salmon)
Lineage: Eukaryota; Metazoa; Chordata; Actinopteri; Salmoniformes; Salmonidae
Exons: 3
Source: RefSeq, a predicted model, not a curated record
CUUAUGACCUCACUUCUCAAAGACCUCAGGGAUACAGAGUUGAGACAACGCAGGGAUCUGUUUGACGCCGGGCUGCGGUCUGUUGCCCGCUACUGUAGUCAUGACAACCAGGCCUCGUCAGAGAGCAGGAGGAUCCAGCGCCAGUGGCUGAGGCUCGACCCCUCAGACCGACGCUGCCAAGUGUGCCAACACCUCUGCUACCUCUCCAUGGUGGUUCAGGAG